UUUGCCUUUUACUUCGUUUCGCAAAACGCGAUUACCCGAACCCAAAUUUCCCCCGCUGACCAAGUAUUUUGUGCUCAAAGAAUCACUAAACCUUGUUCAGGGAGUCUUUCUCUUCAACAAGCACGAGUAUUUUUGAGUCAAGACACUUUUCAUCGCGGGAAGAAAGCAUAAUUCGAAACGAAUGUUCUUUGGUUUGUAUCUUUCACCAUUUUGUUGGCUUUCCUUACUCGUAUUCUGCAGAGGCUCCAUGUGUCAACUGAACAUCAAACUAACAAGCACAUACCUUGGGGGCUUCCUGCAAUGCUUUGGAAGAUAAAGCCAACAGAUGUGCCUCAAUUUGCGCCCAUUUGUUGGACUCUGGCUGCACCGUUGCCGAUGCUGGUCAUUUCUGCCAGGCUGGUCACUUCCCCGUGCACUGAAUGCUAGUGGACAGGUUUAAUAUGCAGGAAGCCCAACAUGUCCACACUGUGCCGCAUCUCUAUUCGCGGCUCUCUUCAUUUGCUUCCGAUUCCCUUCGUUCCGUCAUUGUCUUCCAUGCUUUCUUUUUAUGUGUUCUGUACCGUAAACUAAUGUAAGUUGGAGUCUGACAAGUAUGAGUUUGCUGAAUGCUUCCAACGAUAUUUGAGCGCUUGAAUCGCGGUAUUUUCUGUUUCUGGCGUGUCCUUCAUAUAUCUUCCAGGCCACGGGAGAUGUGCUGAGAAUAUCCACUCGCGCCGAGCAUAAGAGACCGGUGACGCAGGCCUCGGGGCGCAAGGCACAACGCACACACUAGCUUCGGCUUCUGGUUCGUCUUCAGGGGCCAUUCCCUAUCCAAAAACAUGAUGCCGCAGUUGUUCGGGCAAUUUGCAUAUGGAAGGAUUAUCCUUUUGCACGUUCAAUCCUGUCCGCCUCGGAGAUCUUGCGAAACUGAUCUCUGUUUGGGCACAAAUCGUUCAAAAGGGCGACCAGCUGACAACACAACCAUGUUAAUAAAGAAUUAACUUACCAAUCAAGUCCGAAGAGACAUGCGGAUUUUCGAAUGCGAGGAGAAGCUUGCUCUCGAAGUGGAUUUGC
This 1053-nucleotide small RNA is filed under the name Histoplasma capsulatum var. duboisii H88. Its description in RNAcentral is "Histoplasma capsulatum H88 hypothetical RNA". The record is from RNAcentral. Lineage: Eukaryota; Fungi; Ascomycota; Eurotiomycetes; Onygenales; Ajellomycetaceae.